UAUUGGACAAUGGGCGAAAGCCUGAACCAGCCAUGCCGCGUGUGUUAAGAAGGUCUACGGUUUGUAAAGCACAUUAAGCUGGGAGGAAGGGCAGUAAGUUAAUACCUUGCUGUUAUGUCGUUACCGACAGAAUAAGCACCGGCUCACUUCGUGCCAGCAGCCGCGGUAAUACGAAGGGUGCAAGCGUUAAUCGGAAUUACUGGGCGUAAAGCGCGCGUAGGUGGUUUGUUAAGUUGGAAGUGAAAGCCCCGGGCUCAACCUGGGAAUUGCUUUCAAAACUGACGAGCUAGAGUACGGUAGAGGGUAGUGGAAUUUCCUGUGUAGCGGUGAAAUGCGUAGAUAUAGGAAGGAACAUCAGUGGCGAAGGCGACUACCUGGACUGAUACUGACACUGAGGUGCGAAAGCGUGGGGAGCAAACAGG
Molecule: ribosomal RNA, 422 nt
Filed under: uncultured bacterium
Lineage: Bacteria
Description: partial 16S ribosomal RNA
Rfam family: Bacterial small subunit ribosomal RNA
Source: RNAcentral